Molecule: ribosomal RNA, 253 nt
Filed under: uncultured bacterium
Lineage: Bacteria
Description: partial 16S ribosomal RNA
Rfam family: Bacterial small subunit ribosomal RNA
Source: RNAcentral
UACGUAGGCAGCAAGCGUUGUUCGGAGUUACUGGGCAUAAAGGGUGCGUAGGCGGCUUUUUAAGUUUGGUGUGAAAUCUCCCGGCUCAACUGGGAGGGUGCGCCGAAUACUGAGAAGCUAGAGUGUGGGAGAGGAAAGUGGAAUUCCUGGUGUAGCGGUGAAAUGCGUAGAUAUCAGGAGGAACACCGGUGGUGUAAACGGCUUUCUGGACCAUAACUGACGCUGAGGCACGAAAGCGUGGGUAGCAAACAGG